UGGGGAAUAUUGCACAAUGGGGGAAACCCUGAUGCAGCGACGCCGCGUGAGUGAAGAAGUAUUUCGGUAUGUAAAGCUCUAUCAGCAGGAAAGAAAAUGACGGUACCUGACUAAGAAGCCCCGGCUAACUACGUGCCAGCAGCCGCGGUAAUACGUAGGGGGCAAGCGUUAUCCGGAUUUACUGGGUGUAAAGGGAGCGUAGACGGUUAUGCAAGUCUGAAGUGAAAUGCGGGGGCUUAACCCCUGAACUGCUUUGGAAACUGUAAAACUGGAGUGCAGGAGAGGUAAGUGGAAUUCCUAGUGUAGCGGUGAAAUGCGUAGAUAUUAGGAGGAACACCAGUGGCGAAGGCGGUCUACUGGACGAUAACUGACGCUGAGGCGCGAAAGCGUGGGGAGCAAACAGGAUUAGAUACCCUGGUAGU
Molecule: ribosomal RNA, 422 nt
Filed under: uncultured Clostridium sp.
Lineage: Bacteria; Bacillati; Bacillota; Clostridia; Eubacteriales; Clostridiaceae
Description: bacterial SSU rRNA
Rfam family: Bacterial small subunit ribosomal RNA
Source: RNAcentral